AAUUUUGUAAGGAAAAAGUAGUCUGUGUGUGUAUGGUUUUUUUUUUUUUUUAAGAUUUUAUUUAUUCAUGAGAGACACAGAUAGAGAGGCAGAGACAUAGGCAGAGGAAGAAGCAGGCUCCAUGCAGGGAGCCCGAUGUGGGACUCGAUCCCAGGACUCCAGGAUCACACCCUGGGUCAAAGGCAGAUGCUCAGCCGCUGAGCCACCCAGGUGUCCCUGUGUGUGUGUGUUCUAGAAGCAUCAGCCCUUUGGGCUGGCAGGUUGGUGGGAGCUGAGUCCAUGAUGAUGUAAAGUUAUCCCUGUCUGAAGGCAAAGGCCUUCCUGUGGAUUAUGGAUGUCUGAAGCUCAGUUUCCCAAGUUCGCCUUAUAGAAAGUAGAGGAUUGUGAUUUGAAAGUGACCUACUUGAGAAUUGUCUGUAUAUAUCUUGAAUGGAUUUUUCUUUUGCAAUUUCCCCUUGCCAGAUGCAGCAGUCUCAGCCUUGGUUUCUGAGGCUGGAAAAGGAUCCUGCUUCUGUAGGACCUGCUUCUGCAGAUGCCAGUAGGAGUCUACUGGGGGUCUACUGCCCUGGGCCCAAAGAGGAGACUGACUUCUGUAUAUGUCUGCAGUGUGUGAGACAACUGAACUACUUUGCCUGAGGUUGGAGUCCCCUCAUUACUGAUCCAUCAAGUGACUCUCUUUGGUCUUACACGUUCUACCCCAGUGAGUGAUGCCAGCUGGAGCAGCACGGCCUCUGUUGCUGUUAAUGCCUAGAAAAUAAUCCCCCAAAAGGAGAAUAAGAAGUCUUUGGGCUUUCUCUUCAAAAAGGAGCCAAAGGCUACUUGAGACCAUCCUGAAUGCCACAGUUGAGCUGAUCUGGGGGUAACUUGCGUGUGGGCAAGAAGACCGUGAUUGUAAACUGAAUGCUAUGAACAUGUACGUGCUCUGUUUGGGAGCCUGCGAGGAAGCAGGUGCUCAGCCCAGGAGGAGGU
This 969-nucleotide long non-coding RNA is filed under the name Canis lupus familiaris (dog). Its description in RNAcentral is "lncRNA (ENSCAFG00845017031.1)". The stretch from base 272 to 349 matches the Rfam family "Small nucleolar RNA R38". The record is from RNAcentral. Lineage: Eukaryota; Metazoa; Chordata; Mammalia; Carnivora; Canidae.